GACGAACGCUGGCGGCGUGCUUAACACAUGCAAGUCGAACGGAAAGGCCCUGCUUUUGUUGCGUGCUCGAGUGGCGAACGGGUAGGUAACACGUGAGUAACCUGCCCUUGUCUUUGGGAUAACUUCAGGAAACUGGGGCUAAUACCGGAUAGGAGCUCCUGCUGCAUGGUGGGGGUUGGAAAGUUUCGGCGGUUGGGGUUGGGCUCGCGGCUUAUCAUCUUUUUGGUGGGGUAGUGGCUUACCAAGGCUUUGACGGGUUGCCGGCAUGCGAGUGUGACCGGCCACAUUGGGACUGAGAGAACGCCCAGAAUCCUACGGGAGGCAGCAGUGGGGAAUAUUGCACAAUGGGCGGAAGCCUGAUGCAGCAACGCCGCGUGCGGGAUGACGGCCUUCGGGUUGUAAACCGCUUUCGCCUGUGACGAAGCGUGAGUGACGGUAAUGGGUAAAGAAGCACCGGCUAACUACGUG
RNAcentral lists this ribosomal RNA (468 nucleotides) under uncultured bacterium. RNAcentral describes it as "partial 16S ribosomal RNA". It matches the Rfam family "Bacterial small subunit ribosomal RNA", at positions 28 to 507 of the family's 1533-position model. The record is from RNAcentral.